AGAUACACCUGUACCCAUGCCGAACACAGAAGUUAAGCCCUAGAACGCCGGAAGUAGUUGGGGGUUGCCCCCUGUGAGAUAGGGAAGUCGCUUAGC
RNAcentral lists this ribosomal RNA (96 nucleotides) under Streptococcus pneumoniae. The record is from RNAcentral. Lineage: Bacteria; Bacillati; Bacillota; Bacilli; Lactobacillales; Streptococcaceae.